AGAAUGAACGCUGGCGGCGUGCUUUACACAUGCAAGUCGAGCGAGGCGGGUAGCAAUACCCAGUCGAGCGGCGAACGGGUGAGUAACGCGUGGAUUAUCUACCCUGAGGUGGGGGAUAACCCGGGGAAACUCGGGCUAAUACCGCAUGACAUCGAGAGAUCAAAGGGGGCCGCAAGGCUCUCGCCAUGGGAGGAGUCCGCGUACGAUUAGCUAGUUGGUAGGGUAAUGGCCUACCAAGGCGACGAUCGUUAGCCGGCCUGAGAGGGUGAUCGGCCACACUGGAACUGAGACACGGUCCAGACUCCUACGGGAGGCAGCAGUGGGAAUUUGCGCAAGUGGGCGAAAGCCUGACGCAGCAACGCCGCGUGGAGGAUGAAGUCCGUUGGAUUGUAAACUCCUGUCAGCGAAGGGAAAAGGGACCGGCCGCAGUACGCCGGUUCAUUGAUUGUACUGCAGGAGGAACG
This 464-nucleotide ribosomal RNA is filed under the name uncultured soil bacterium. Its description in RNAcentral is "bacterial SSU rRNA". It matches the Rfam family "Bacterial small subunit ribosomal RNA", at positions 26 to 495 of the family's 1533-position model. The record is from RNAcentral.